GAGUCGCUAUCACCGCCAUGUUGCUCCGUCUUCUACCCGCUUGUACCGGUGACCGGCGGACGCUCCGUGCUUCCCGGUGCUUCUUUCGUGUUCCUCGUGAUGAAGUUAUGUACGGAUACAAUGUCGGGUGUGUCGAGUGUAGUAGCAGCGUAGGUGCUAGGAUCGUAUAGAUCGUAUCUCGUUCGUCAAGCGUUACGAGCCUGUUGCUCGCGUCUCGUUGCUGUCUCGUGCUCGUGUAACGUUACUCGACUCGAUUCUCCGCUUGCCUCGCAAUCUUCGUUGCUCCUGAUCAGCCGCGAUCGUAUCACGUUUUGUUGAAGCUCAUGUGUGACAUGUUAUCCGCGUAGUAUCGUGAAUGCCGACUAAAAUAUCGAGCCGUUCGAUCGAAGCUCGUUGCGUUAGCGACGGCGUCAACCCCUGGGUCGAUCGCAUUUUUCAAUCCGCGGCUGUUUGUUUUCGGUCUCAAUUCGUAUGUUUAUCAGUGUGUGAGAACGUGAAUAUAAUAAUCGUCCGGUCACGCGCGUGUUACGUGUUGUGUGUCAGCAACGGCCGCGACCAACCGGUUGAAUGGUUAGUUAGAUUAGGUUAUGUUACGACGCGCGCGAUUCUCUGGCGUUUGAGAUUCGUCGUUUGCCGGGACGGUAACUUCCCCGACGGUGUCGUGGUGCGGUAUCGGAAGUGGUGAACAAUGUAUCGUGUGGUCGUCGUUAAUGUGCAAUUCUUCAAGAGCGACAAAAAGAGACAUCGUCAGCGAAGGACGGCCUUCGUGGAGCAAUUCGGUCGAUGUUGAAAACUCUGCUGCUGCACAUCAUGUGUCGGUCGACGUUGAAUACUCCGCUGCUGCGCAUGUCGGUGAGUGAUAAUUAUAUUUUAAUCUAGUAAUGAAUCUCUUGAAUAUAUAUUGAUAGAAGAGAUCCAUUGCUUUAGAUAUUGAUAAAGAUCCAUUGCUAAAGAUCCAUUUAAAAUGA
Long non-coding RNA from Solenopsis invicta (red fire ant), 968 nucleotides. RefSeq lists it as uncharacterized. NCBI's taxonomy places the organism in Eukaryota, Metazoa, Arthropoda, Insecta, Hymenoptera, Formicidae. The transcript is spliced from 3 exons. The record is from RefSeq and is a predicted model, not a curated record.